AUGCCAUGUGACUGUCUGUCAACACAGCCAGAUAUGAGCUGGGCUAAGGCCUCCUCCCAGGCUGGGCAGGGGCUCUGUUGGGCUCCUCCUGACCUGGUGGGCAUGGUAGGGGCUGUGUCUCCCUCUGGCCUGCAGACCACGGCUUACUGGUGCCACCCCUGGGAACCCGAGGCCAGGUGGCAGCUCUCUGGCAAGCUCAUAAGCACAGUGUCUCGGAGGUGGAGCCCCCCGCAACCCCAGCCAGCCCCCUCUCCUGCCCCAGGAGGAGUCUUGGGGAGAGCUCCAGGUCCAAGCCCUGCCCGCCUCCCCGUGCCCUUCCUGUUCCUUCAACCUCCAGACAAGGGAGCAGUGGCCGUUCCUCCUUUCCUCCCACCCACGGGUUACCGAGCGAAGAUGACACUGAAAGCCAUCAAGCCAGUUGCUGCCAUGGAAGACGGAGUCUGUGAGCCAGAGAGAGACAGAAACACACAGAGAGAGGCAGAGACACAGAGAGAGUCAGAGACAGACACAGGCGAAGACACAGAGGUAGAGAGAUGGGGUGGGGGUGGAGAGGGGAUGCCCGCCUCACCCCUUCAGCAGCGGCUCAGCCAGGACACCCUCCAGACCAUGCCCAGGCCCCUUUGGUGUUACCAGUGGACAGCACAGCUAGGCCACAGCCAUGAACCAGAUGGGACCCGCCUGACCUGUGUUCCCCUCCCAAAGCCUCUCCCUUUUCACUUCUGGUGCCUAGGGGGGUGUCGAGACCAGCUGUGCGGGGCAGCCCCUCCCAGGCAGGCCUUCCUGGAGGGCCAGGUGCCCAGCCCCAUAGGCAGGUUCCUGCACAGCCUGGCCUGGCCUUCCCUGGGAGCCUCAGGCCUGGGCCGAGUAAGCCAGGAGUCACUGGGCCUGUGGGCUGGCUCAGCAAGACCACAGCUCAGCACACACCACACCCAUCAGCCCCUUUCUGUCCUGCCUCCAGGCCCAGAGGCAGCCAGGGCCUCCCUGAUGACAGAGCCCCCAGCUGGGGCUUGCAAGGGGAGCUGCCGGCUCUUCAGUGAGCCUUGGGGAGACCGCCUGGGGCCAGGGUGCUGCCUGGCUGCCCUCUCUGCCCCCAACCUGGCCUCUGGCGGUAGCACUUGUGAAAAUGCUGGACACUCCUCCUAG
Molecule: long non-coding RNA, 1143 nt
Filed under: Papio anubis (olive baboon)
Lineage: Eukaryota; Metazoa; Chordata; Mammalia; Primates; Cercopithecidae
Description: lncRNA (ENSPANG00000048613.1)
Source: RNAcentral